This is a long non-coding RNA of Papaver somniferum (opium poppy), 896 nucleotides long. RefSeq lists it as uncharacterized. The transcript has 2 exons. The record is from RefSeq and is a predicted model, not a curated record. NCBI's taxonomy places the organism in Eukaryota, Viridiplantae, Streptophyta, Magnoliopsida, Ranunculales, Papaveraceae.
UUCCUUCUAUAAGACUCCCACCUAUUAGGGGUACUUUAUUUUGCAAGGUUAUUAGGACUUAGGAGUGCUUUUAUCUUACUUUUUUUAAUUGUUGUUUCGUUCUAUUAGAUUUAUAGCUAAUCAAAUGCAAAUAUCAUACCGAUGCUCUAUACAAUGACGAGUGAUCAGGGAAUCUUUGCAGGCGUGCAUUCUCUCUAGUUGUCUCUUGAUCAGAUCUUGAUGCAGUACACGUUGAUUGGUUAUACGACUUACUUUUGUCAGCACUGUGGACAUUGUUUCAUCCCAUCAUGCGAUUCAUUUGGUUUGCUUUUAUUUUUCCUAUUCAAAUAAAUGGCACAUUUUUGGGCCGCUUAUGGUGUGAUGAAGCUAUCUUCACAGUGGUGAUAAUUGAUAGAGCCAUAUAACCAAGCUAAUAUUGUAUCCAGAUAUUAAGAUCGAGUGCUUUCAACUAGAGAGAAUGCUCGGUCGCAACGCAACGGUUCCCGCCGAUUACUUUACAGCAAGAAUCCAAGUAUUCCUUGGGCAGGCAAUAUAUUAUAAGUAUCUAUAAGGUUUUCCUUGUUUCUUCAUAUGAUCUUUAUUAAUCAGAUUUUAAUUUGCAGUGCUUUAGGGAAUUGAUCGGGUAGUGUGAUCUCUUCUUGAAAAGACUUGGUUUUAGUGGCCUUGCUUGAUUUUCUUAUCUCGGGUGGAUGAUGGACAUGCAUUUUUAUUUUAAAUUCCUCUUCUGGUGUAUCUUGGGGAUUGAAACUCCCUUUUUCACUUUUCACUUGUAAUGAUUCUUUUGAACCAGCACAACUCUUUGGUAAAAAGUUGGCCACUUUUUAGUAGGAAGUUAUAAUUUGAGGGAUGUAAUAUACAGUAUGAAUUAUUAAUGGAAUGCCUGCAUUUUGGUUUUA